This 406-nucleotide ribosomal RNA is filed under the name uncultured bacterium. Its description in RNAcentral is "partial 16S ribosomal RNA". It matches the Rfam family "Bacterial small subunit ribosomal RNA", at positions 30 to 526 of the family's 1533-position model. The record is from RNAcentral.
AUUGAACGCUGGCGGCAGGCUUAACACAUGCAAGUCGAGCGCGCGGCGGACGGGUGAGUAAUGUCUGGGAAUCUGCCUGAUGGAGGGGGAUAACUACUGGAAACGGUAGCUAAUACCACAUACCAUCAGAUGUGCCCAAAUGGGAUUAGCUAGUAGGUGGGGUAAUGGCUCACCUAGGCGACGAUCCCUAGCUGGUCUGAGAGGAUGACCAGCCACACUGGAACUGAGACACGGUCCAGACUCCUACGGGAGGCAGCAGUGGGGAAUAUUGCGCAAUGGGCGCAAGCCUGAUGCAGCCAUGCCGCGUGUGUGAAGAAGGCCUUCGGGUUGUAAAGCACUUUCAGCGGGGAGGCGUUACUCACAGAAGAAGCACCGGCUAACUCCGUGCCAGCAGCCGCGGUAAUUC